AGAGCGAACGCUGGCGGCAGGCUUAACACAUGCAAGUCGAGCGCCCGUAGCAAUACGGGAGCGGCAGACGGGAGAGUAACACGUGGGAACGUACCCUUCAGUUCGGAAUAACCCAGGGAAACUUGGACUAAAUACCGAAUACGUCCGUAAGGAGAAAGAUUUAUCGCUGAAGGAUCGGCCCGCGUCUGAUUAGCUUGUUGGUGAGGUAACGGCUCACCAAGGCGACGAUCAGUAGCUGGUCUGAGAGGAUGAUCAGCCUCACUGGGACUGAGACACGGCCCAGACUCCUACGGGAGGCAGCAGUGGGAAUAUUGGACAAUGGGCGCAAGCCUGAUCCAGCCAUGCCGCGUGGAUGAUGAAGGCCCAGGGUUGUAAAGUCCUUUCGACGGGAAGAUAAUGACGGUACCCGUAGAAGAAGCCCGGCUAACUUCGUGCCAGCAGCCGC
RNAcentral lists this ribosomal RNA (445 nucleotides) under uncultured bacterium. RNAcentral's name for it is "SSU rRNA". It matches the Rfam family "Bacterial small subunit ribosomal RNA", at positions 26 to 518 of the family's 1533-position model. The record is from RNAcentral.